AACGCGAAGAACCUUACCUGGGUUUGACAUCCUCGGACCGGCAUAGAGAUAUGCUUUUUGUAGCAAUACAACCGAGAGACAGGUGCUGCAUGGCUGUCGUCAGCUCGUGUGGUGACAUGUUGGGUUAAGUCCCGCAACGAGCGCAACCCUUGUCUUUAGUUGCCAGCAUUCAGUUGGGCACUCUAGAGAGACUGCCGUGGUUAACACGGAGGAAGGUGGGGAUGACGUCAAGUCCUCAUGGCCUUUAUAUCCAGGGCGACACACGUGAUACAAUGGACGAUACAGAGGGACGCGAAGCCGCGAGGUGGAGCUAAUCUCAAAAAGUCGUUCUCAGUUCGGAUUGGAGUCUGCAACUCGACUCCAUGAAGUUGGAAUCGCUAGUAAUCGCGGAUCAGCACGCCGCGGUGAAUACGUUCCCGGGCCUUGUACACACCGUACGUC
This 441-nucleotide ribosomal RNA is filed under the name uncultured bacterium. Its description in RNAcentral is "bacterial SSU rRNA". It matches the Rfam family "Bacterial small subunit ribosomal RNA", at positions 958 to 1398 of the family's 1533-position model. The record is from RNAcentral.